Molecule: ribosomal RNA, 510 nt
Filed under: uncultured Bacteroidales bacterium
Lineage: Bacteria; Pseudomonadati; Bacteroidota; Bacteroidia; Bacteroidales
Description: bacterial SSU rRNA
Rfam family: Bacterial small subunit ribosomal RNA
Source: RNAcentral
AGAGUUUUGAUCCUGGCUCAGGAUGAACGCUAGCGGCAGGCUUAACACAUGCAAGUCGAGGGGCAUCGGAGGGAAGCUUGCUUUCCUGCCGGCGACCGGCGCACGGGUGAGUAACACGUAUGCAACCUGCCCUCGUUCAGGGGGACAACCUUCCGAAAGGGAGGCUAAUCCCGCGUAUAUCGGUUUCGGGCAUCCGAGAUCGAGGAAAGAUUCAUCGGAAGAGGAUGGGCAUGCGGCGCAUUAGCUUGACGGCGGGGUAACGGCCCACCGUGGCGACGAUGCGUAGGGGUUCUGAGAGGAAGGUCCCCCACACUGGUACUGAGACACGGGACCAGACUCCUACGGGAGGCAGCAGUGAGGAAUAUUGGUCAAUGGGAGAGAUCCUGAACCAGCCAAGCCGCGUGAGGGAAGACGGCCCUAUGGGUUGUAAACCUCUUUUGUCGGAGAACAAAACCCGGGACGUGUCCCGGACUGCGUGUAUCCGAAGAAAAAGCAUCGGCUAACUCCGUG